This 253-nucleotide ribosomal RNA is filed under the name uncultured bacterium. RNAcentral's name for it is "partial 16S ribosomal RNA". It matches the Rfam family "Bacterial small subunit ribosomal RNA", at positions 524 to 776 of the family's 1533-position model. The record is from RNAcentral.
UACGUAGGAGGCGAGCGUUGUCCGGAUUUACUGGGCGUAAAGCGCGUGUAGGCGGUUCGAUUAGUCUGCUGUGAAAGCGCUCGGCUUAACCGGGCGAGGUCGGUGGAUACUGUCGGACUUGAGGACGGUAGAGGGGGGUGGAAUUCCCGGUGUAGUGGUGAAAUGCGUAGAUAUCGGGAGGAACACCAGUGGCGAAGGCGGCCCCCUGGGCCGCUCCUGACGCUGAGACGCGAAGGCCAGGGUAGCGAACGGG